Molecule: long non-coding RNA, 1865 nt
Filed under: Daucus carota (carrot)
Lineage: Eukaryota; Viridiplantae; Streptophyta; Magnoliopsida; Apiales; Apiaceae
Description: long non-coding RNA (DCAR_LNC000942)
Source: RNAcentral
AACCAUUUAUUCACUACUUGAAACAUUUUUUCAAGCCAAGCAAUCAAUCCGGACUCAACCAUUUAUUUACUACUUGAAUCAUUUUUUCAAGCCAAGCAACCAAUCCGGAUUCAAUCAUUUAUUCAUUACUUGAAUUAUUUUUUCAAGGAGAGAAUUCUCCAAGCAACUAAUCCGGAUAUAAGCAAACAAUCCGGAUCCAAUCAUUUAUUCACUACUUGAAACAUUUUUUCAAGCCAAGCAACCAAUCCGGACUCAAUCAUUUAUUUACUACUUGAAACAUUUUUUCAAGCCAAGCAACCAAUCCGGACUCAACCAUUUAUUUACUACUUGAAUCAUUUUUUCAAGCCAAGCAACCAAUCCGGAUCCAACCAUUUAUUCACUACUUGAAACAUUUUUUCAAGCCAAGCAACCAAUCCGGAUCCAACCAUAUAUUCACUACUUGAAACAUUUUUUUUCAAGCCAAGCAACCAAUCCGGACUCAACCAUUUAUUUACUACUUGAAUCAUUUUUUCAAGCCAAGCAACCAAUCCGGAUCCAACCAUUUAUUCACUACUUGAAACAUUUUUUCAAGCCAAGCAAUCAAUCCGGAUCCAACCAUUUAUUUACUACUUGAAUCAUUUUUUCAAGCCAAGCAACCAAUCCGGAUUCAAUCAUUUAUUCAUUACUUGAAUUAUUUUUUCAAGGAGAGAAUUCUCCAAGCAACCAAUCCGGAUAUAAGGAAUCAAUCCGGAUUCAACCAUUUAUUUAUUACUUGAAUUAUUUUUUCAAGGAGAGAAUUCUCCAAGCAACUAAUCCGGAUAUAAGCAAACAAUCCGGAUCCAAUCAUUUAUUCACUACUUGAAACAUUUUUUCAAGCCAAGCAACCAAUCCGGACUCAAUCAUUUAUUUACUACUUGAAACAUUUUUUCAAGCCAAGCAACCAAUCCGGACUCAACCAUUUAUUUACUACUUGAAUCAUUUUUUCAAGCCAAGCAACCAAUCCGGAUCCAACCAUUUAUUCACUACUUGAAACAUUUUUUCAAGCCAAGCAACCAAUCCGGACUCAACCAUUUAUUUACUACUUGAAACAUUUUUUCAAGCCAAGCAACCAAUCCGGACUCAACCAUUUAUUUACUACUUGAAUCAUUUUUUCAAGCCAAGCAACCAAUCCGGAUCCAACCAUUUAUUCACUACUUGAAACAUUUUUUCAAGCCAAGCAAUCAAUCCGGACUCAACCAUUUAUUUACUACUUGAAUCAUUUUUUCAAGCCAAGCAACCAACCCGGAUUCAAUCAUUUAUUCAUUACUUGAAUUAUUUUUUCAAGGAGAGAAUUCUCCAAGCAACCAACCCGGAUAUAAGCAACCAAUCCGGAUUCAAUCAUUUAUUCAUUACUUGAAUUAUUUUUUCAAGGAGAGAAUUCUCCAAGCAACCAAUCCGGAUAUAAGCAACCAAUCCGGACUCAACCAUUUAUGUACUACUUGAAAUAUUUUUUAAAGGCAAGAAUUCUUCAAGCAACCAAUCCGGACUCAACCAUUUAUGUACUACUUGAAAUAUUUUUUCAAGCCAAGGAACCGAUCCAGAGUAUAAUACUAUAUUGUACUUACAAUUACCAUUCUACAAGUGACCAAUACCGGACCCAGCUAUCCACCUAAGGCAAGGAUUUAUUCAACAGCCAAAUCGGGUUACUUCCCAAUUAUUACUUGGAAAAAUAUUCCAAGGCAAGAGGAGCAGCAGAAAAGAGGUCUAGCAUGAUCCGGACUCGCUUCACACAUCUAAGACGCAAAAACUCUUUCAAAAGAGAUUGGAUAACCCGGACCCUGCAUUAUCACUACCAACCUGCCAAGCUAUCCAGAUCAUAUGACAAAAAAGAAAAAUAAAAUACAAGC